RNAcentral lists this ribosomal RNA (1169 nucleotides) under Herbaspirillum huttiense subsp. putei. Its description in RNAcentral is "bacterial SSU rRNA". It matches the Rfam family "Bacterial small subunit ribosomal RNA", at positions 28 to 1275 of the family's 1533-position model. Lineage: Bacteria; Pseudomonadati; Pseudomonadota; Betaproteobacteria; Burkholderiales; Oxalobacteraceae. The record is from RNAcentral.
AUUGAACGCUGGCGGCAUGCCUUACAAUGCAAGUCGCGCAUAGGAGCUUGCUCCUGAUGGCGAGUGGCGAACGUAAUAUAUCGGAACGUGCCCUAGAGUGGGGAUAACUAGUCGAAAGACUAGCUAAUACCGCAUACGAUCUACGGAAAGUGGGGGAUCGCAAGACCUCAUGCUCCUGGAGCGGCCGAUAUCUGAUUAGCUAGUUGGUGGGGUAAAAGCUCACCAAGGCGACCAGUAGCUGGUCUGAGAGGACCCAGCCACACUGGGACUGAGACACGGCCCAGACUCCUACGGGAGGCAGCAGUGGGGAAUUUUAAUGGGGGCAACCCUGAUCCAGCAAUGGCGUGAGUGAAGAAGGCCUUCGGGUUGAAGCUCUUUUGUCAGGGAAGAAACGGUUCUGGAUAAUACCUAGGGCUAAUGACGGUACCUGAAGAAUAAGCACCGGCUAACUACGUGCCAGCAGCCGCGGUAAUAGUAGGCAAGGUUAAUCGGAAUUACUGGGCGUAAAAUAUAAUCAACCGCUUGUGUAAGUCAGUGUGAAAUCCCCGGGCUCAACCUGGGAAUUGCAUUUGAGACUGCACGGCUAGAGUGUGUCAGAGGGGGGUAGAAUUCCACGUGUAGCAGUGAAAUGCUAGAGUGGGGAAUACCGAUGCGAAGGCACCCCCUGGGAUACACUGACGUCAUGCACGAGCGUGGGGAGCAAACAGGAAGAUACCCUGGUAGUCACGCCCUAAACGAUGUCUACUAGUUUCGGGUCUUAAUUGACUUGGUACGCAGCUAACGCGUGAAGUAGACCGCCUGGGAGUACGGUCGCAAGAUUAAACUCAAGGAAUUGACGGGACCCGCACAAGCGGUGGAUGAUGUGGAUUAAUUCGAUGCAACGCAAAAACCUUACCUACCCGACAUGGAUGGUCCUGAAGAGAUUUGGGAGUGCUCGAAAGAGAACCAUCACCAGGUGCUGCAUGGCUGUCGUCAGUCGUGUCGUGAAUGUUGGGUUAAGUCGCAACGAGCGCAACCCUGUCAUUAGUUGCACGAAAGGGCCUAUGAGACUGCCGGUGACAAACCGGAGGAGGUGGGGAUGACGUCAAGUCCUCAUGCCCUUUGGGUAGGCUCACACGUCAUACAAUGUACAUACAGGGGCCGCCAACCCGCGAGGGGGAGCUAAUCCC